AAAUCGGGGCAGGGUGAGUCGACCCCUAAGGCGAGGCCGAAAGGCGUAGUCGAUGGGAAACAGGUUAAUAUUCCUGUACUUGGUGUUACUGCGAAGGGGGGACGGAGAAGGCUAUGUUGGCCGGGCGACGGUUGUCCCGGUUUAAGCGUGUGGCUGGUUUUCCAGGCAAAUCCGGAAAAUCAAGGCUGAGGCGUGAUGACGAGGCACUACGGUGCUGAAGCAACAAUGCCCUGCUUCCAGGAAAAGCCUCUAAGCAUCAGGUAACAUCAAAUCGUACCCCAAACCGACACAGGUGGUCAGGUAGAGAAUACCAAGGCGCUUGAGAGAACUCGGGUGAAGGAACUAGGCAAAAUGGUGCCGUAACUUCGGGAGAAGGCACGCUGAUAUGUAGGUGAAGCGACUUGCUCGUGGAGCUGAAAUCAGUCGAAGAUACCAGCUGGCUGCAACUGUUUAUUAAAAACACAGCACUGUGCAAACACGAAAGUGGACGUAUACGGUGUGACGCCUCCCCGGUGCCGGAAGGUUAAUUGAUGGGGUCAGCGCAAGCGAAGCUCUUGAUCGAAGCCCCGGUAAACGGCGGCCGUAACAAUAACGGUCCUAAGGUAGCGAAAUUCCUUGUCGGGUAAGUUCCGACCUGCACGAAUGGCGUAAUGAUGGCCAGGCUGUCUCCACCCGAGACUCAGUGAAAUUGAACUCGCUGUGAAGAUGCAGUGUACCCGCGGCAAGACGGAAAGACCCCGUGAACCUUUACUAUAGCUUGACACUGAACAUUGAGCCUUGAUGUGUAGGAUAGGUGGGAGGCUUUGAAGUGUGGACGCCAGUCUGCAUGGAGCCGACCUUGAAAUACCACCCUUUAAUGUUUGAUGUUCUAACGUGGACCCGUGAUCCGGGUUGCGGACAGUGUCUGGUGGGUAGUUUGACUGGGGCGGUCUCCUCCUAAAGAGUAACGGAGGAGCACGAAGGUUGGCUAAUCCUGGUCGGACAUCAGGAGGUUAGUGCAAUGGCAUAAGCCAGCUUGACUGCGAGCGUGACGGCGCGAGCAGGUGCGAAAGCAGGUCAUAGUGAUCCGGUGGUUCUGAAUGGAAGGGCCAUCGCUCAACGGAUAAAAGGUACUCCGGGGAUAACAGGCUGAUACCGCCCAAGAGUUCAUAUCGACGGCGGUGUUUGGCACCUCGAUGUCGGCUCAUCACAUCCUGGAGCUGAAGUAGGUCCCAAGGGUAUGGCUGUUCGCCAUUUAAAGUGGUACGCGAGCUGGGUUUAGAACGUCGUGAGACAGUUCGGUCCCUAUCUGCCGUGGGCGCUGGAGAACUGAGGGGGGCUGCUCCUAGUACGAGAGGACCGGAGUGGACGCAUCACUGGUGUUCGGGUUGUCAUGCCAAUGGCACUGCCCGGUAGCUAAAUGCGGAAGAGAUAAGUGCUGAAAGCAUCUAAGCACGAAACUUGCCCCGAGAUGAGUUCUCCCUGACUCCUUGAGAGUCCUGAAGGAACGUUGAAGACGACGACGUUGAUAGGCCGGGUGUGUAAGCGCAGCGAUGCGUUGAGCUAACCGGUACUAAUGAACCGUGAGGCUUAACCUU
This 1577-nucleotide ribosomal RNA is filed under the name metagenome. RNAcentral's name for it is "bacterial LSU rRNA". It matches the Rfam family "Bacterial large subunit ribosomal RNA", at positions 1366 to 2925 of the family's 2925-position model. The record is from RNAcentral.